This 253-nucleotide ribosomal RNA is filed under the name uncultured bacterium. Its description in RNAcentral is "partial 16S ribosomal RNA". It matches the Rfam family "Bacterial small subunit ribosomal RNA", at positions 524 to 776 of the family's 1533-position model. The record is from RNAcentral.
UACGGGGGGGGCAAGCGUUGUUCGGAAUUACUGGGCGUAAAGGGCUCGUAGGCGGCCAACUAAGUCAGACGUGAAAUCCCUCGGCUUAACCGGGGAACUGCAUCUGAUACUGGAUGGCUUGAGUUCGGGAGAGGGAUGCGGAAUUCCAGGUGUAGCGGUGAAAUGCGUAGAUAUCUGGAGGAACACCGGUGGCGAAGGCGGCAUCCUGGACCGACACUGACGCUGAGGAGCGAAAGCAUGGGUAGCGAACAGG